UCCUCGGUAGCUCAAUGGUAGAGCAUCCGACUGUUAAUCGGCAGGUUGCUGGUUCGAGUCCAGCCCGAGGAGCCA
This 75-nucleotide transfer RNA is filed under the name Planctomycetota bacterium. RNAcentral's name for it is "tRNA-Asn". It matches the Rfam family "tRNA". From Rfam's summary of the family: Transfer RNA (tRNA) molecules are approximately 80 nucleotides in length. Their secondary structure includes four short double-helical elements and three loops (D, anti-codon, and T loops). Lineage: Bacteria; Pseudomonadati; Planctomycetota. The record is from RNAcentral.